Gigantopelta aegis is the source of this 213-nucleotide long non-coding RNA. RefSeq lists it as uncharacterized. The transcript is spliced from 2 exons. The record is from RefSeq and is a predicted model, not a curated record. Lineage: Eukaryota; Metazoa; Mollusca; Gastropoda; Neomphalida; Peltospiridae.
UAGAGAAAUGCCCAGCUAAAAACACAGACCCGUCCGCGUGUAAACUGCCGGCCUACAAAGACGCCUGUUGGAAAUACAGUAACUGGGCUCCCCAGUACUGCCCUUUCUUCUGCGGACUUUGCUAGGCAUGAACAAACCUUACACAGAACUGAACAAAACUGUAACUGACUAUGUUACUGAAGUCAAUAUUGAAAUAAAAUUAAUUUAAUUACC